GAUCAUGGCUCAGGAUGAACGCUAGCGACAGGCUUAACACAUGCAAGUCGAGGGGCAGCAUAAAAGUAGCAAUACUUGGUGGCGACCGGCGCACGGGUGAGUAACGCGUAUGCAACCUACCUAUCAGAGGGGAAUAACCCGGCGAAAGUCGGACUAAUACCGCAUAAAACAGGGGCACCGCAUGGUGAUAUUUGUUAAAGAAAUUCGCUGAUAGAUGGGCAUGCGUUCCAUUAGGUAGUUGGUGAGGUAACGGCUCACCAAGCCGACGAUGGAUAGGGGAACUGAGAGGUUGGUCCCCCACACUGGUACUGAGACACGGACCAGACUCCUACGGGAGGCAGCAGUGAGGAAUAUUGGUCAAUGGGCGGGAGCCUGAACCAGCCAAGUCGCGUGAAGGAAGAAGGAUCUAUGGUUCGUAAACUUCUUUUGCAGGGGAAUAAAGUGCAGGACGUGUCCUGUUUUGUAUGUACCCUGAGAAUAAGGAUCGGCUAACUCCGUGCCAGCCGCCGC
This 510-nucleotide ribosomal RNA is filed under the name uncultured bacterium. RNAcentral describes it as "bacterial SSU rRNA". It matches the Rfam family "Bacterial small subunit ribosomal RNA", at positions 15 to 518 of the family's 1533-position model. The record is from RNAcentral.